This 482-nucleotide ribosomal RNA is filed under the name uncultured bacterium. RNAcentral describes it as "bacterial SSU rRNA". It matches the Rfam family "Bacterial small subunit ribosomal RNA", at positions 18 to 518 of the family's 1533-position model. The record is from RNAcentral.
UAUGGCUCAGGACGAGCGCUGGCGGCAUGCCUAACACAUGCAAGUCGAACGGGGGUAGCAAUACCCUAGUGGCGAACGAGUGAGUAACACAUAAGCAAUCUGCCCUUCACAGGGGGAUAACAGCGGGAAACUGCUGCUAAUACCGCAUAAGACCACGGUACCGCAUGGUACAGGGGUAAAAACGAAUCAGUGGUGAAGGAUGAGCUUAUGUCCCAUUAGCUAGUUGGUGAGAUAACAGCCCACCAAGGCGACGAUGGGUAGCCGACCUGAGAGGGUGAUCGGCCACACUGGAACUGAGACACGGUCCAGACUCCUACGGGAGGCAGCAGUGGGGAAUAUUGGGCAAUGGAGGAAAAACCUCUUACCCAGCAAUGCCGCGUGAGUGAAGAAGGUCUUCGGAUUGUAAAGCUCUUUGAUUGGGGACGAAGAAAGUGACGGUACCCAAAGAACAACGCCCCGGCUAACUACGUGCCAGCAGCCGC